UUUUGAUCUUGAAGUUAGAGCAGGAAUAAGUCUGUGUAAUUUGAUGGGAGAAUACUUCUUCUGAGGUGGCGGAACGUCAAAUCCCAUCAUGCUUAUUUAUAUCUUCGCUAUGAGAAGUUCAGAGAAGCUCCAUUGACUUCAACAGGAUUUCCAAGAUGUCAGAGGAAGUCAGCCAGGAAGACCUCCUUCCCAUUGUGUUAUUUUCUGUUACAGAAAUAGCUGCUACUAAGAAAACUAC
Molecule: long non-coding RNA, 238 nt
Filed under: Gallus gallus (chicken)
Lineage: Eukaryota; Metazoa; Chordata; Aves; Galliformes; Phasianidae
Source: RNAcentral